UGCAGUCGAACGCUUCUUUCCUCCCGAGUGCUUGCACUCAAUUGGAAAGAGGAGUGGCGGACGGGUGAGUAACACGUGGGUAACCUACCCAUCAGAGGGGGAUAACACUUGGAAACAGGUGCUAAUACCGCAUAACAGUUUAUGCCGCAUGGCAUAAGAGUGAAAGGCGCUUUCGGGUGUCGCUGAUGGAUGGACCCGCGGUGCAUUAGCUAGUUGGUGAGGUAACGGCUCACCAAGGCCACGAUGCAUAGCCGACCUGAGAGGGUGAUCGGCCACACUGGGACUGAGACACGGCCCAGACUCCUACGGGAGGCAGCAGUAGGGAAUCUUCGGCAAUGGACGAAAGUCUGACCGAGCAACGCCGCGUGAGUGAAGAAGGUUUUCGGAUCGUAAAACUCUGUUGUUAGAGAAGAACAAGGACGUUAGUAACUGAACGUCCCCUGACGGUAUCUAACCAGAAAGCCACGGCUAACUACGUGCCAGCA
RNAcentral lists this ribosomal RNA (485 nucleotides) under Enterococcus faecalis. RNAcentral describes it as "bacterial SSU rRNA". It matches the Rfam family "Bacterial small subunit ribosomal RNA", at positions 56 to 513 of the family's 1533-position model. Lineage: Bacteria; Bacillati; Bacillota; Bacilli; Lactobacillales; Enterococcaceae. The record is from RNAcentral.